GUGCCAGACUCCUACGGGAGGCAGCAGUGAGGAAUAUUGGUCAAUGGGCUAAGGCCUGAACCAGCCAAGUCGCGUGAGGGAAGACGGUCCUAUGGAUUGUAAACCUCUUUUGUCGGGGAGCAACGAGGCCACGUGUGGCCGAAGUGAGAGUACCCGAAGAAAAAGCAUCGGCUAACUCCGUGCCAGCAGCCGCGGUAAUACGGAGGAUGCGAGCGUUAUCCGGAUUUAUUGGGUUUAAAGGGUGCGUAGGCGGAACAUUAAGUCAGCGGUAAAAUCGAGGGGCUCAACCCCUUUAAGCCGUUGAAACUGGUGAUCUUGAGUGGGCGAGAAGUAUGCGGAAUGCGUGGUGUAGCGGUGAAAUGCUUAGAUAUCACGAAGAACUCCGAUUGCGAAGGCAGCCUACUAAACUGCCACUGACAUUGAUGCUCGAAAGUGUGGGUAUCAAACAGGAUUAGAUACCCUGGUA
This 466-nucleotide ribosomal RNA is filed under the name uncultured bacterium. Its description in RNAcentral is "bacterial SSU rRNA". It matches the Rfam family "Bacterial small subunit ribosomal RNA", at positions 328 to 792 of the family's 1533-position model. The record is from RNAcentral.